UACGGAGGGUGCAAGCGUUAUCCGGAUUCACUGGGCUUAAAGGGCGCGUAGGCGGGCUAGUAAGUCAGUGGUGAAAUCUCCGGGCUUAACCCGGAAACUGCCAUUGAUACUAUUAGUCUUGAAUACCAUGGAGGUGAGCGGAAUAUGUCAUGUAGCGGUGAAAUGCUUAGAUAUGACAUAGAACACCAAUGGCGAAGGCAGCUCGCUACGCGGUUAUUGACGCUGAGGCACGAAAGCGUGGGGAUCAAACAGG
RNAcentral lists this ribosomal RNA (253 nucleotides) under uncultured bacterium. RNAcentral's name for it is "partial 16S ribosomal RNA". It matches the Rfam family "Bacterial small subunit ribosomal RNA", at positions 524 to 776 of the family's 1533-position model. The record is from RNAcentral.